Molecule: non-coding RNA, 2819 nt
Organism: Monodelphis domestica (gray short-tailed opossum)
Lineage: Eukaryota; Metazoa; Chordata; Mammalia; Didelphimorphia; Didelphidae
Source: RefSeq, a predicted model, not a curated record
AUUAGGGACAACUUAUUUUUUAAAAGCUAAAGAAGAUGGAUUCCAAAAACUGUAUGAUAGAAAACUAACAGUAGAUGCCCAGCAAAAUUCUAAAAAUAGAAAUGCUUACAAACUCUUUGAAAAGAGAUCACUGUGAGCUAGUAACCAAAAGGAAACCAUGCCAGACUUAAUUCCUUUUAAAAAUAAGUGGUGUAGAGUGAUAGCAAUCCUUUUUCACCAUGAUCAACAGUGAAUGAUUUAACUAUUAUCAACAAGGCAACGAUCCAGGACAACUCCAAUGGAGUCAUGAUGAAAAAAGGUGGAGAUAACCACAACCUUGUGAAUGUUGGAAAAUUAAGCGAGUUAACCUUCAGAAGACUGGGAGUUGAAGUCUAUUCAAGGAUGUUCUAGGAUUCAAGUAGUAAGCAGCCAAGUCUCAAGUCGUAUUCCAUUGUUAUCAAUAGCAAAGAUUCAGACUCAUUUAUCAAUUUGCAAUGCUGCAUUUUGAAUUAAACUUGGUGGAGAAAAUAUGAUGUAGAAAUUCUUUAAAGUUUGAGCCUCUACUCCUUCAAGGUGAUAUAGAGGGAAGAAUGUGCCAAGGUUUGGAGGGGAGAAAUUUUUGUUCUUCCAUUAUUUUGCUUUUGCAUCAAACUUACCUUUGUAAAAGCCAUUUGAAGUUAACUGGUUAAAAUUAAUUGUAGCAUUGUUGGAGGUUAAUAGUUUAUGCAUGGAAUGUGGUGAAAUGAUGCUUCGAAAUGAUAAAAUUAGAGAAGUAUCCCCUCAGAGGUACCCCUAGACCGUUAAGGAAGAGAUAUAGCUUUACUUUGGGAGAGUGAAUCCAGAGGUUUGCCACCUCGGCAAAAUCUAAGGAAUAGUUAAAGACAUUUAAUAUUUAGAAAGAAGGUCCACAAAAUAUUGGAGAGGCAGUUUAUUCCCUCAAACAUGAAUUUAGGUAUAGAAGAGAUCUCUAAGGUUAUUUAGUCCAGAUUUCUUUUUUUAAGCCCAAAAAAGCAAAUUACAUUUAUCCAAUGUCAUAAGAAUAAGUAAGUAGAAGAGACAGAAUUUUAACUUAUGGCUGACUCAGACACCAAUCCUUUUUUGUUUGUUUGUUUGUUUGUUUUACAAAAUGCUCAUCACUCACCCCUGUCCUAUGUGGUUGAAGAAACAAAACAAAACAGAACAUCCUAUAGAGAUUAAAGGAUUAUUAAAGGAUUAUAAAAUGUCUAAUAUAAUCAGUCCAUAGAAUACAAUCAUAAGAUUUUGUGCUGAAAGGAAUCAUAAAGAUCGUUUAGUUCAAAUCUCUCAUUUUACAUAAGUGGAAACUGAUAUACAUAGAGGAGAAAUGACCUUUCAAGGUUCCACAGCUAAUAAAAGGAUUGUAGUCACUGUGAAAUUGGUACUUGCCAUCACAAAUGACACUUUUACCUUCUUGGACAGUUCUUUAAUAACUACUUGCUCUUCAAAAUACCAUGAAAGUCAUCAAUAUUGGAAGGAAUACUGGAAUUCAGGUGUUCUUGGUUCUGGUCUUAGAAUUGUUAGUCCCCAUCUCUAUGAACUUGGAUAAAUUCUUAACCUCUCUAGACUUCAAUUUUCUUAUCUAUAAAAUUGAUCUUUAGAGUGUCUUCCAGUUCUGAAAUUCUAUGAUUAUUUGAUUUUAUCGUAGGUGAUAGGAACCACCCCCUGACCCUACCUCCACCCGACAGUUCUUGGAACGUUAAUUUAUCAGCAUCAGACUUUGCAUACUGUAUUGACUCUCUAAUACCUUACAUUGUAAAGCAGGCUACUUGAGGGUAAAUAGUCACUAAUUAAUAAAGGAACUUUAUUUUAAAAGCAUCUAAUUGUGUGCAUGAUAUAACUAGACCAUCUUGAAAUUAUUUCCCUUACUAAGAACACUAUUUUUAACUCAGUAUGAGCAGAACUUGGUAUCACUACAAUUCCUUAAAAGUUCUUACAGCUAUUAUAGCUUUUUAAAAAUGAAAUUUUACAUUCCCAUUUAUUUGAUGUGUCAUAGUAAUUUCCUUUUUUUAAGCCCUUAACUUCUGUCUUAGAAUUGAUACUAAGUAUUGGUUCCAACAUAGAAGAGCAGUAAGGGCUAGGCAAUUGGAAUUAAGUGAUUUGCCAAGAGUCAAACAGCUAGAAAGUAUCUGAGAUUAGAUUUGAACCCAGGACAUCCUGUCUCCAGGCCUGGCUAUCUAUCCACAGAGUCACCUAACUAUCCCAUUUUUUCAUAAUAAUUUCUUAAAGGAAAUGAUAUUAGAGAUUUCUGCAGUAGGGAAGAGGGACAAAGAUUAGACCAGUGAUUUUCUUAGUAUAGUGAACACCUUGAUGAGGAAACUUCCUUUACUAAUGCAAGACAAUAACUUCUCUGCCUCUUAUAGUCUUAUAGAGUUGCCUAGGAUAUCAAGAGGUUGAUUUUCUCAAUCACAAGACUCUGUCAGAGAUGUAAUUGAACUAAAGUCUUCUUUAUUUUAAGCCCAACUCUGUCAUCCAAGUUAUGCUGUCUGUCAUAAUGCAUGUAUAGUGAGUAGAAAUAGAAAAAAACAGAGUAGAUAGGGUAUUCAGGGUGUCCCAAAAAUCUUAUUGCAAUUUUAAGUAGCUUAAAAUCAUCAGGUGGAACAGAGUGAAAGUAAGGAUUAUUUUAAAUCCAAUGGUGAGGAGUUCACACAGUAGAAUAGAAUGCUGGUCUUAGAGUCAGGAAGACUUAUCUUUAUGAGUUCAAAUCUGCCCCUAGACACUUACCAACUGUGACUCUGGUCAAGUUACUUAACCCUGCCUCAGUUCCUCAACUGUAAAAUGAGCAGGAGAAGGAAAUGCUAAACCACUCCAGUAUCCAAGAAAAC